Molecule: non-coding RNA, 188 nt
Organism: Ceratotherium simum simum (southern white rhinoceros)
Lineage: Eukaryota; Metazoa; Chordata; Mammalia; Perissodactyla; Rhinocerotidae
Source: RefSeq, a predicted model, not a curated record
UCAGGCCAAGGAAGCAGGGAAAAUUCCAGGAUUCUAUGAGUUCUGAGAUAGCCCCACACAAAGAAGCUGUGGUGUCUCCGCCUCAGCUGCUGCAGAGACUAGAACUGGCUUCCCCUUGGAGACAGCAGAUUUCGGGAUGAUCCUUGCUUAAGCCCGCGCAUCCCCAGGCGAGUCUUAGAGGUUACAGC